CGCGUAGGCGGCUUGGCAAGUCAGAUGUGAAAGCCCCGGGCUUAACUCGGGAAUUGCAUCUGAAACUGCUUUGCUUGAGUCCUGGAUGGGAUAGUGGAAUUCCCAGUGUAGCGGUGAAAUGCGUAGAUAUUGGGAGGAACACCUGCGGCGAAGGCGGCUAUCUGGACAGUGACUGACGCUGAGGCGCGAAAGCUAGGGGAGCGAACGGGAUUAGAUACCCCGGUAGUCCUAGCCGUAAACGAUGGGCACUUGGUGUUGGGGGUAUUGUAGUCCCUCGGUGCCGGAGUUAACACGUUAAGUGCCCGCCUGGGGAGUACGGUCGCAAGACUGAA
Molecule: ribosomal RNA, 332 nt
Filed under: uncultured bacterium
Lineage: Bacteria
Description: bacterial SSU rRNA
Rfam family: Bacterial small subunit ribosomal RNA
Source: RNAcentral